Molecule: ribosomal RNA, 507 nt
Filed under: Tonkinacris sinensis
Lineage: Eukaryota; Metazoa; Arthropoda; Insecta; Orthoptera; Acrididae
Description: partial 16S ribosomal RNA
Rfam family: Archaeal large subunit ribosomal RNA
Source: RNAcentral
GUCCUCUUGAUUAUAUUUUGAGGUCUGGUCUGCUCACUGACAAAGUUUUAAAGAGCCGCGGUAUUUUGACCGUGCAAAGGUAGCAUAAUCAUUAGUCUCUUAAUUAGGGGCUGGAAUGAAUGGCUUGACGAAAAAUCAUCUGUCUCUUAUUAAAUUUUAGAAUUUAACUUUUAAGUUAAAAGGCUUAAAUUUUUCUUUAAGACGAGAAGACCCUAUAGAGCUUAACAUUUCAUUUUUAUAUAAUUUUUAGUUGAUCUUUUUAUAUUUAAAGAUAAUGUUUUGUUGGGGUGACAUGAAGAAUAAAUAAACUCUUCAUUUUAAAAUCAUUAAUUUAUGUUUAACAUGAUCCAUAAUUUAUGAUCAUAAGAUUAAGUUACCUUAGGGAUAACAGCGUAAUUGUUUUUGAGAGCUCAUAUUGACAAAGCAGAUUGCGACCUCGAUGUUGGAUUAAGAAUAAUUUUGGGUGCAGUAGCCCAAUAAUUAGGUCUGUUCGACCUUUAAAUUCUU